RNAcentral lists this ribosomal RNA (253 nucleotides) under uncultured bacterium. RNAcentral's name for it is "partial 16S ribosomal RNA". It matches the Rfam family "Bacterial small subunit ribosomal RNA", at positions 524 to 776 of the family's 1533-position model. The record is from RNAcentral.
UACGUAGGGUGCGAGCGUUGUCCGGAAUUAUUGGGCGUAAAGGGUGCGUAGGCGGUUUGGUAAGUCUUGUGUGAAAUCUACAGGCUCAACUUGUAGUCUGCACGAGAAACUGCCGGGCUUGAGUAUGGGAGAGGUGAGUGGAAUUCCUGGUGUAGCGGUGAAAUGCGUAGAUAUCAGGAGGAACACCUGUGGCGAAAGCGGCUCACUGGACCAUAACUGACGCUGAUGCACGAAAGCUAGGGGAGCAAACAGG